Molecule: ribosomal RNA, 967 nt
Filed under: Anoxybacillus sp. E2
Lineage: Bacteria; Bacillati; Bacillota; Bacilli; Caryophanales; Anoxybacillaceae
Description: bacterial SSU rRNA
Rfam family: Bacterial small subunit ribosomal RNA
Source: RNAcentral
UGCAAGUCGAGCGGACCGAAUAGAAGCUUGCUUCUGUUCGGUUAGCGGCGGACGGGUGAGUAACACGUGGGCAACCUGCCCGUAAGACGGGGAUAACUUCGGGAAACCGGAGCUAAUACCCGAUAACCCUGAAGACCGCAUGGUCUUUAGUUGAAAGGCGGCUUCGGCUGUCACUUACGGAUGGGCCCGCGGCGCAUUAGCUAGUUGGUGAGGUAACGGCUCACCAAGGCGACGAUGCGUAGCCGACCUGAGAGGGUGAUCGGCCACACUGGGACUGAGACACGGCCCAGACUCCUACGGGAGGCAGCAGUAGGGAAUCUUCCGCAAUGGACGAAAGUCUGACGGAGCAACGCCGCGUGAGCGAAGAAGGUCUUCGGAUUGUAAAGCUCUGUUGUUAGGGAAGAACAAGUGUGGUUCGAAUAGGGCCGUACCUUGACGGUACCUAACGAGAAAGCCACGGCUAACUACGUGCCAGCAGCCGCGGUAAUACGUAGGUGGCAAGCGUUGUCCGGAAUUAUUGGGCGUAAAGCGCGCGCAGGCGGUUCCUUAAGUCUGAUGUGAAAGCCCACGGCUCAACCGUGGAGGGUCAUUGGAAACUGGGGGACUUGAGUGCAGAAGAGGAGAGCGGAAUUCCACGUGUAGCGGUGAAAUGCGUAGAGAUGUGGAGGAACACCAGUGGCGAAGGCGGCUCUCUGGUCUGUAACUGACGCUGAGGCGCGAAAGCGUGGGGAGCAAACAGGAUUAGAUACCCUGGUAGUCCACGCCGUAAACGAUGAGUGCUAAGUGUUAGAGGGUAUCCACCCUUUAGUGCUGUAGCUAACGCAUUAAGGCACUCCGCCUGGGGGAGUACGCUCGCAAGAGGUGAAACUCAUUGAAUUUGACGGGGGCCCCGCACAGUCGGUGGAGCAUGUGGUUUAAUUCCGAGGCAACGCGAAGAACCUUUACCAGGUCUUGACAUCCCCCUGGA